RNAcentral lists this long non-coding RNA (208 nucleotides) under Medicago truncatula (barrel medic). Its description in RNAcentral is "long non-coding RNA (MTRU_LNC007281)". Lineage: Eukaryota; Viridiplantae; Streptophyta; Magnoliopsida; Fabales; Fabaceae. The record is from RNAcentral.
UAUUUUUUUUGAAAUUUUUUUACAUCAAAAGCUUCUUCUCAUUCUCCUCUAUACAAAUCCGGUGUUACUUUUAAAAAGGGUAGAGAGAUUCGAGCUAGAUCUAGCAAAGAGAGUUUGAGUGAAAUUACCUCCGGUUUCAAAACGGAGAAGACCGGAUCUACUACUUUAAGCUCGGAUUCACUUCUUUCUUGCUAAAUUCCUCCGAUCC